CGGGUACAAUCCAGGAAGCUUUGUCGUGUACACUCUCUUAGAACAGUCCGUGUGGGGGAGCGCGCCGACCCAACCGACCGCACCCUAUUUGGUGUCGGUGCGUCGCCCAGCAGAAGAGGUAAGGUUAGACGUAGUCAAGCAGAUUGUCGCCGCCGGCACGACAAGGCCGCGGCCGCUCUACAGAUGGUUACCACAGCUCUAAUUACCCUAAAGACGACGCAGGCCACGCUCCUCGUGAAGGCAGAACGGUAACCUCAGGGUCCUAAGGUACUCGCAGGGUUUGCUGCACAAGCGACGGCGGCCAACACGAGCCGGCGUACACCUACGUCACCACCCGCUCCACACGAGACUUCGGUGGUCGCCGACCUGCGCGUCCCAGUCCCACCCAUUUCGAGGGCUCCUCUCCCUCUACUUAGGUUUGUCCUAAAGUCGAGGGCUUCACAUGUUUAACACCAGACGAACCCGUAGCUGCGUUAUUGACACCGUGCUCCUUUAGACCUGGAAAACUUGGCUUGAAAGAGAUUCCUUGAUUUAAGUAUUCAGCACGACAAAGAAACAGUCCUGACAGAAUAACACGUUAGUAGUAACACAGUAAACGUGAGCCAACUGUUAAUUUUGACAAAAUAAACCAGACAAUACUAGUAAUAACACAAUCAAAGUAAACUCUGCAACGAAUAAAAAAAGCACGAUCACAACCAAAGUAAACUCUGUGAUUCGACUUUGAAUGGGUAGUACUACCGACCAACUCGAACGGAAAACCAACACAAACUAACACAGGAAACCAGCCGGAGUACAUUGCUCUUUGUCAAGUUUCUUAUGACUAGAGCCACUAGAUACCGAGGGUACACAUGGAUUGAGACUU
RNAcentral lists this ribosomal RNA (862 nucleotides) under Triticum aestivum (bread wheat). RNAcentral's name for it is "partial small subunit ribosomal RNA". Lineage: Eukaryota; Viridiplantae; Streptophyta; Magnoliopsida; Poales; Poaceae. The record is from RNAcentral.